This 65-nucleotide transfer RNA is filed under the name Xenopus laevis (African clawed frog). It matches the Rfam family "tRNA". Rfam says of the family: Transfer RNA (tRNA) molecules are approximately 80 nucleotides in length. Their secondary structure includes four short double-helical elements and three loops (D, anti-codon, and T loops). The record is from Rfam by way of RNAcentral. Lineage: Eukaryota; Metazoa; Chordata; Amphibia; Anura; Pipidae.
GUUUCUGUAGUGUAGUGGUUAUCAUGUUUGCCUAAAGGUCCCAGGUUCAAAACCUGGCAGAAACA